GGUCAAGCUAUAACGGGCUCAUGGUGGAUACCUAGGUACGCAGAGGCGAAGAAGGACGUGGUUACCGACGAUACGCUCCGGGGAGCUGGAAGCAAGCAUUGAUCCGGAGGUUUCCGAAUGGGGCAACCCUAUGUACGGCCCGCUGAAUCCAUAGGCGGGUGCGAGCGAACGCAGCGAACUGAAACAUCUUAGUAGCUGUAGGAAGAGAAAGAAAACUCGAUUCCCUGAGUA
This 231-nucleotide ribosomal RNA is filed under the name Plectonema terebrans CCAP 1463/4. Its description in RNAcentral is "partial 23S ribosomal RNA". It matches the Rfam family "Bacterial large subunit ribosomal RNA", at positions 1 to 245 of the family's 2925-position model. Lineage: Bacteria; Bacillati; Cyanobacteriota; Cyanophyceae; Oscillatoriales; Microcoleaceae. The record is from RNAcentral.